UGGGGAAUAUUGGGCAAUGGGCGCAAGCCUGACCCAGCAACGCCGCGUGAGGGAAGAAGGUUUUCGGAUUGUAAACCUCUGUCGCAGAAGACGAAGGAAGUGACGGUAGCAUAGGAGGAAGCCCCGGCUAACUACGUGCCAGCAGCCGCGGUAAUACGUAGGGGGCGAGCGUUGUCCGGAAUUACUGGGCGUAAAGGGUGCGUAGGCGGUUUUGUAAGUUGGAUGUGAAAUACCCGGGCUUAACUUGGGGGCUGCAUCCAAUACUGCAGGACUUGAGUGCAGGAGAGGAAAGCGGAAUUCCUAGUGUAGCGGUGAAAUGCGUAGAUAUUAGGAGGAACACCGGUGGCGAAGGCGGCUUUCUGGACUGUAACUGACGCUGAGGCACGAAAGCGUGGGGAGCAAACAGGAUUAGAUACCCUGGUAGU
RNAcentral lists this ribosomal RNA (425 nucleotides) under uncultured bacterium. RNAcentral's name for it is "bacterial SSU rRNA". It matches the Rfam family "Bacterial small subunit ribosomal RNA", at positions 355 to 794 of the family's 1533-position model. The record is from RNAcentral.